RNAcentral lists this ribosomal RNA (446 nucleotides) under uncultured bacterium. RNAcentral describes it as "partial 16S ribosomal RNA". It matches the Rfam family "Bacterial small subunit ribosomal RNA", at positions 338 to 795 of the family's 1533-position model. The record is from RNAcentral.
CCUACGGGAGGCAGCAGUCGAGAAUCAUUCACAAUGGGGGAAACCCUGAUGGUGCGACGCCGCGUGGGGGAAUGAAGGUCUUCGGAUUGUAAACCCCUGUCAUGUGGGAGCAAAUUAAAAAGAUAGUACCACAAGAGGAAGAGACGGCUAACUCUGUGCCAGCAGCCGCGGUAAUACAGAGGUCUCAAGCGUUGUUCGGAAUCACGGGGCGUAAAGGGUGCGUAGGCUGUUUCGUAAGUCGGGUGUGAAAGGCGCGGGCUCAACCCGCGGACUGCACAUGAUACUGCGAGACUAGAGUAAUGGAGGGGGAACCGGAAUUCUCGGUGUAGCAGUGAAAUGCGUAGAUAUCGAGAAGAACACUCGUGGCGAAGGCGGGUUCCUGGACAUUAACUGACGCUGAGGCACGAAGGCCAGGGGAGCGAAAGGGAUUAGAUACCCCUGUAGUC